This 61-nucleotide microRNA precursor is filed under the name Pristionchus pacificus. RNAcentral describes it as "mir-8364 microRNA precursor family". It matches the Rfam family "mir-8364 microRNA precursor family". Lineage: Eukaryota; Metazoa; Nematoda; Chromadorea; Rhabditida; Neodiplogasteridae. The record is from Rfam by way of RNAcentral.
UCUUCAUUCCGCGUACUCUCUCAACGGCCAGGGAGGCGAGAAAAUGUGCGAAAUGAAGAGA